UCGGGAAUUUUGGGCAAUGGGCGAAAGCCUGACCCAGCAACGCCGCGUGAAGGAUGAAGUAUUUCGGUAUGUAAACUUCGAAAGAAUAGGAAGAAUAAAUGACGGUACCUGGAGAAUAAGCCCCGGCAAACUUCGUGCCAGCAGCCGCGGUAAUACGAAGGGGGCUAGCGUUGUUCGGAAUUACUGGGCGUAAAGCGCACGUAGGCGGAUCGUUAAGUCAGAGGUGAAAUCCCGGAGCUCAACUUCGGAACUGCCUUUGAUACUGGCAAUCUAGAGUCCGGAAGAGGUUAGUGGAAUUCCCAGUGUAGAGGUGAAAUUCGUAGAUAUUGGGAAGAACACCAGUGGCGAAGGCGGCUAACUGGUCCGGUACUGACGCUGAGGUGCGAAAGCGUGGGGAGCAAACAGGAUUAGAUACCCCUGUAGUCCCUGAGCGGGCUGGCAAGGCGC
This 447-nucleotide ribosomal RNA is filed under the name uncultured bacterium. Its description in RNAcentral is "bacterial SSU rRNA". It matches the Rfam family "Bacterial small subunit ribosomal RNA", at positions 355 to 823 of the family's 1533-position model. The record is from RNAcentral.